Vidua chalybeata is the source of this 597-nucleotide long non-coding RNA. RefSeq lists it as uncharacterized. The transcript is spliced from 4 exons. NCBI's taxonomy places the organism in Eukaryota, Metazoa, Chordata, Aves, Passeriformes, Viduidae. The record is from RefSeq and is a predicted model, not a curated record.
UAUGGCUUUAUAUCUCAAUUUUUUUUUUCUUCAAGACGACAGCACUUUAGUAUCUGCAUUGACCUCCAUGAUGUCAGAAUGUCAUUGUGCAAACGUAGCUAAGAAAAGCUGCUGAGAAAAAAAAAAAACAAAGGAGCUUUGCAUCUUCCAAUAACAUGAGAUGUGCAUAUACAUUGAACCAAGACUCUGUAGCUGAUACGCAAUGUCACUUACAACAUUAAUCAGAUACUGCAUUUAAGUCUUUUCAAGCUGCUUCCCAUCUGAAUUUUGACAACUGCUGCUAAAAAAUUAUCAAGAAGACCACGAACAGAACUUAUCUCCAUCGCUUUACAUAAAAAUGGCUGGUGCAUUGCCAUGUUAACACUGCUCUAAGUGGUACAUGCAGGCCGAUACACUGUAGCCACACACUUCACAAAAUUACUGAGAUGGUUUUGCUGAAAAUACCUGUCAAUACCACUUUUAAAAGACUCUAACAGAAGAACAACCUGAUUUUGGGUGGGUAAGUUUAUGGGGUGAUCUCACAUAGAAAUAGAGCUAAAUUAUUUAACACCAUCACCACUGCAUUACCUGGGUAUAUUUUCUGUUAAUUUCUAAUUU